Molecule: ribosomal RNA, 468 nt
Filed under: uncultured bacterium
Lineage: Bacteria
Description: partial 16S ribosomal RNA
Rfam family: Bacterial small subunit ribosomal RNA
Source: RNAcentral
GACGAACGCUGGCGGCGUGCUUAACACAUGCAAGUCGAACGGAAAGGCCCUGCUUUUGUGGGGUGCUCGAGUGGCGAACGGGUGAGUAACACGUGAGUAACCUGCCCUUGACUUUGGGAUAACUUCAGGAAACUGGGGCUAAUACCGGAUAGGAGCUCCUGCUGCAUGGUGGGGGUUGGAAAGUUUCGGCGGUUGGGGAUGGACUCGCGGCUUAUCAGCUUGUUGGUGGGGUAGUGGCUUACCAAGGCUUUGACGGGUAGCCGGCCUGAGAGGGUGACCGGCCACAUUGGGACUGGGAUACGGCCCAGACUCCUACGGGAGGCAGCAGGGGGGAAUAUUGCACAAUGGGCGGAAGCCUGAUGCAGCAAGGCCGCGGGCGGGAUGACGGCCUUCGGGUUGUAAACCGCUUUCGCCUGUGACGAAGCGUGAGUGACGGUAAUGGGUAAAGAAGCACCGGCUAACUACGUG